AAAUAAGUUUAUUUAUUGUUGCUCUUCUGUGAUGAGAGGGCAUUGAUAGCUUUCCUUUGACAUAUCUUGAUGAUGCAGAUUGACUCCUUGAUUGUUGGUCUUUUCGAAAAUAGCAGCUUGAUUAAUCAUCUUACAAGAUCUUCGAUGCUUCUUGUCCGCUUCAAUCUUCCGGAUUGAAUAUGCCGGACUUGAUGGAUUCCUUAAGUUUAGGCUUUGUUGAUACAUUCCAUCAUAAUUGUCGAUUGAUUUCGUGAUGUUUGCUGGCCUCGAAUUGGUUUCCUUAUGUUUCCUGACUGAUUGCUCCCAUAUUGUA
This 313-nucleotide long non-coding RNA is filed under the name Nicotiana benthamiana. RNAcentral describes it as "long non-coding RNA (NBEN_LNC021956)". The record is from RNAcentral. Lineage: Eukaryota; Viridiplantae; Streptophyta; Magnoliopsida; Solanales; Solanaceae.